Molecule: long non-coding RNA, 608 nt
Organism: Oreochromis aureus
Lineage: Eukaryota; Metazoa; Chordata; Actinopteri; Cichliformes; Cichlidae
Exons: 2
Source: RefSeq, a predicted model, not a curated record
UACACAACUCCAUGGAGCUCUUUCUCUCUGGCUCAGAGACAAAGGCUGCUGUGCCUGCUGUGAUUGGUCAAAAGUUGGGAGGAAAACCACUGUUCUCCUUAUUGUUGUCAAAUAUGACAACAAUGUAUUUGUAUCAAUGAAGACAAAAAUAAAAUGUGUCCUUUUGAAAAGGUAUUUUAUGAGUCCUUUUUCUUUUAUCAUCUGCUUUGUUUACUCGCAUAUCAAACAGUAGCUGAGAUCAAUUCUGGAAAUUAUCAUUAGACCAACUUAAUAUUAAUACUUUAUUCAGGUUAUUGUUUAGGAUCUUAGUAAAUGCUUUGAGCUCAGUCAGAUAUUAGCAGGUCAGACUUGUUAUUUUCUAUUUAGGUAUUUUAAAACGAAGAUAGAUGAAAAACAAAUUUGGUGUUUGGGUUUAGACCAAUAAAAAAGGUGACAUGUGACAGACUCAGAGACCAAUUUCAUUUAAUGCUUAAGAGUUUAAUGAUGAAGAUAAUAAGAACAGAAAUGAAUAGUUUUUGUUAUUAAAAGAGACAGUCCGGUCGACUCCAGUUUGUGUCACUUGUUGCUUCAUUCUUUAUGCAGCAAUACAGCAAAAGAAAAUAAGUAAA